Molecule: long non-coding RNA, 2016 nt
Organism: Myotis brandtii (Brandt's bat)
Lineage: Eukaryota; Metazoa; Chordata; Mammalia; Chiroptera; Vespertilionidae
Exons: 2
Source: RefSeq, a predicted model, not a curated record
UCUCUAAAAUCAAUAAAAACAUAAAAAAAAGGGGAGCCCUUUAGUUCUCCGCUCACUGAUUCCUGCGCCGAGGCCAUGCCUGCCAUCGGCUGUGCAGCCCGCAGUCCCGGUUUUCUUUUCCUGUCGUCCCUGCCCACGGGGAUGCAGACGUUGGCGCUCUGACCAAGGUGAAGGAGAGCCGGCGGCACGUGGAGGAGGGGAAGAUGGAGGCGCAGAAGGCCGAGGGCAUCCAGGCUCGCUGCAACACCAUCUCCUUCGCCACGCUGGCCGAGAUCCACCACUUCCACCAGGUCCGCGUGCGCGACUUCAAGUCCCAGAUGCAGCACUUCCUGCAGCAGCAGAUCAUAUUUUUCCAGAAAGUGACGCAGAAGCUGGAGGAGGCUCUUCACAAGUACGACAGCGUCUAGUGCCGGGCGCGCGUGGGGCGCUCCAGUUCAAGGGUGAUUUCCGCAGCGGAGCACAGACUGCUCAGAGCUGCCGCCGCUCCCGCAGGCACAGGCCACUCUGUGCCUGCAGCCGGGCUGGCUGUGUGCUGGCGCAGGGCAGUGCCGCAUCGUAGCUAAGUUACACUAUGUACGCCUACACUACCAUGUAGCGGGGAUACGAUUAUACUCUUUGCCUUAUUGCUUUCUGGAGGAUGGGUCUUCAGUGCAGACUUGGCAGACCUCAGAGCACCGCGGGGUCUCAGGGAGCCCGGGCCAGCCUGCUCCAUGCCUUUCCCGCCCACAGACUGGGGUCCCCGAAAUUCAGCCUGUUCUCUGUUUACAAACUCCGACGAGAGCAGCUGUGCGACUUCGUGCCUUUAGACUCGGGUUUUCAUUUCCCCGCCCCCUUUAUAAAGUAACACGACUUUUUAAUCGAAAGAGCGAAAGGCCAGUGCGUCCAGGGACGGCCUGCUAGUGACUGCAAGUGGCACUGGGCGGGCGGGAGGGUCAGUUGGCACCGGCUGACGUGUGAGCGCGGCAGAGGGGCUGUGCUCCUCUGGGACUUGCGGUCCUUUGGGGAGGCGAUGGGGCACUCUGCUCCCUUAGGUGCUCCGUGUGGCCUCCCUCCCGCGUCCUGGAGGCCUGUGUGCGGGUCACACGCACCCUGCUCACCACGGAGGCAGGGGGCCGGCCCGCGGGACAAGCACAGAUUCGGUGAGGACACGCUCAGCUCUGCUUAGGAGGGUUUCUUUUCUUUCCUUUUUAGCUUGAAGAUUUCUUUUCCUGUUCAGUGUGAUUUUUUUAAAUGGAUCUACACUGUUAACCGAUCGAGACUCCACUGUGAUUCACUCACUCGUUUACUUAAUCGACCACUUUUCAGGGAUGUCUAUAAAUUUAGUGUUACACGUGAUGCAAAUAGCGUUGAUCUGAGGAGGGACCAGAAGUAAUUCUAUUCCAGAUGCUGAAAGCAAGAAGAAUUGUUAUUUUUAAGUACUGAGAAGCCCCAGGACAUUUAACAUUAAAAAUUACCGUAAAUAUAUUCUUUUAAAGAAAAUACAAAGGCUGAUGCAUACCAAAAAGAUUCCCAAGCAGCUUCAUUUAAAAAAGCAUAAAGAUUCUGGCUAGAAGCGCCUGGAUCUCCAUGUUUUUCGUCCUUGCUGAGCUCAAUAACGUGUGGGUGCGUUUAGAGAUGCGACUGUCACUGACGGUGGCGGCACCUGCUGUGUAGGAAGGAGGCGUACGCUGCCGCGGGAACCUGCUCGUCAGCGAGGAGCAGAAGCAGAGGCCAGCGUGAUGUGCUGGUGAGUCGCGCUGGUUAAGGAAGAGGCAGUUAGCGACAUAAUCACUCCACAGCGCAAUUCCUCUUGAGAGGAAUCUCACAUGGGCAGGGUUUUUAAGAUCGGGGUCUCAUGACUUAUCGGCACUGUAUUCCUUAGGUUGUCUCCUGGGACGUGGGGCUGUGACCAAAUACAUUGUUCUCUCAGGAGUGACUUCCGCUCAUUGAUGGCAAAAUACAGUUUGAUAAGCAAAACCCAUGUGUGUAUAAAUGUUAAUUUUAUGGCAGAAGUUUGGAGAUUAUAAUUCUAGCAUU